AGAUAGUAAGUUAAAAUCUAUUUAAUUUUGACAGCAUUACAUCUUAUUAGAGGAACCUGUCCUCUAAUCGACAACCCACGAUAACCUUUACUUUAAAUAUAAAUUUAUAUAUCGCCAUCUAAAGAACUAAUUUCAAAAUUUAUUCAAGAUAAAAGAUAAAAAGUUAGGUCAAGGUGUAGUUCAUAUUAAAGACUGAGAUGUGUUACAAUAAAAUCUAUUUAAGGAAUAAAAAUAAAUCUCUUUUAAGAAAAAGAAUUUAAAAGUAAUUAAAUAUUAAUAAUACUUAAUGAAUAAGAUUUAAAAAUGUGU
RNAcentral lists this ribosomal RNA (309 nucleotides) under Uliodon sp. CG124. RNAcentral describes it as "partial 12S ribosomal RNA". Lineage: Eukaryota; Metazoa; Arthropoda; Arachnida; Araneae; Zoropsidae. The record is from RNAcentral.